Long non-coding RNA from Felis catus (domestic cat), 1877 nucleotides. RefSeq lists it as uncharacterized. The record is from RefSeq and is a predicted model, not a curated record. The transcript is spliced from 3 exons. Lineage: Eukaryota; Metazoa; Chordata; Mammalia; Carnivora; Felidae.
AGCAAAGUUCCGCAGGGUGGGGAAAGCGCCCUCGCGGCAGGAGGCUGGAAAGCUGACCGCCGGAGAGUGGAAGCGGGACCAGGUCCCGAGUUGUACUGUCCGCCCCGCGCAGCCACCUGGGCUCGGGCGCCUUCCCACCGCGAGCAGGCGUUUCUGCGGCGGCUUUUUGGCGGGAGGGAUUCUGCUCCGGUUCGCUCACUUUCUGCGCCCGUCGGAGGCCGGUGGCAGCACAACACCGCGUCCUGGCCAAAGGACAAGUGGGUCUGGAGGGACUGGACGGAAAUGCACCCCAGCCCCGGAGACCCAGGUUAAAAGAUACUUUAUCUGUAAUCAUCACGCCUAAAAUGAAUGACCCAACUCCAGCUUUCCCCUAGCCAGAGACGGCAGAAGGAGGUAUCUGGAAGUCUGCAUGAAAACAGGUUAAACACUGAAGCUGUUUCUAUGAAAAAUAAAGAAAUGCACAACGCAAACGUCUGCCUAGCCUCCGUCAGUGGCACUCGCUUUACUUUUUCCAACACUAAUCCGUAACACGACGGAAUGCAGCUGCAGACCCAAUGAGACCGGCCCUCGGCUAGCCGCGACAGAUUAAGCGUCUCCUGGGCCCGGAGCUGACACGCGGCGCCUGGUCGACGAAGCUCAGCGACAGGUUCCACGGGGAACCCGCCGUCCAAACUGAGAACGCAAAGCAACGAAGCGACGGCUCCGUAUCCGCGGGGCAUCCCGGGGCACGGAAUCCCGGCGGGCCGCGGGGGAAAGGGCCGUUAGGGGGUCGCCCGGGCGGAGGCCAGACGGCGGCCCGGGCCCCUCCCAGCGCUCGGACGGCGGCCUCCACGCCCCGCGCCCCCGCAGACCCAGCGCGGGCCCCAGCGCCUCCAAACCCCGAACCGCCGCGCGACCCCGCCUCGGCCGCGGGCAGCGCGCCCGCACCUCCACGUCGAUGUCCAGGAAGCCGCCCUCGGCCACCUCGAAGAUGAGGCCCAUCUUGGUGCCCGAGGUGACCCGCUCGAAGAAGCACUCCUCGGCGUGCGCGUCGAUGCUGACGAAGUAGCCCGAAGCCGUGGCCAGAAGAGCGGCCAGGAGCACCAGCAGCUCGGCGAGCGUCACCAUGGUGGGGCUGGGGCCGAAGCCAGGACCGGGACCGCGGCCUCCAGAGCCGCCGCCGCCGCCACCGCUGCCUCCUCAGCCGCCGCCGCCUCUGCUCCGCCCCUUCCGGCUGCGCCACCCGAGGGGGCUGAUGCGGGCGCCGUGGAUUGGCGGGCGCCGGCAGCUGCCACGUAACGGACGCACGGCGGCCGCGGAGGGACAAGGCGGCUCCGCGCACCCCGAGCCUGGAUGGUGGCUCUGAAAGGCCAAACAUCGUUGUGCCCACCAUCAUCCCUUUCGCGCGCAAGCUAAGUUUCACGUGAACCACACCAGAAAGCGACAGUAUCAGGAAACCUCCCGCGCCCGGUGCGACGCCCUAAGAUUGUCUAAAGAGAUGGCGAAAACUUUGGAGGCAGCAACAGAAGGAUUAUUUCUUGAAAGACCAUCAGGCAAUAGGGGGCAGUAGUGGCCCAAUAUCCAGUUUCCCCGCUUCAGGUGUCAAAAAACAGGUGCAGGGCUUCCUUGACGGAACUCAAGAGCUCUAGUGAUGUCCCCUGACUCCCCGCUCUCCGGACUGUGUCAAAGGCCCUGCUUGUGCUAGCAGGUCAGUUCUGCUGUGUUAUUCUGGGAGCCCAGAGCCUGUUCCCUCCAGCCUCACUAACCCACUUAUAUGCCUCUCUUUCUCUGUAUUGAAGUUCUUCCUGCUUAUAAUACCUACAGUAGUUUCCUACUAAAAUGAAUUGAACUGGGGCGCCUGGGUGUCUCAGUCGGUUAAGCAACCGACUUCGACUCAG